ACACCUCAACUCUCGUGGUUUGCCAUGAUGAGCUUGGACUCUGGGGGUCUUGCUGGCCUAUGGUCAGCUCCUCUCAAAUAAAUCAGCUUGCCAGUGUUUGGUGGCAUCACAGGUGUGAUAACUAUCUACGCUUGUGGUUUUCCAUCAGGUAACCUUCAGUGAUGGAGGUUCGCUGGAGCUCAUAAAUGUCCCUCCUCAGCGAGGACAGCUUUUGAAC
RNAcentral lists this unclassified non-coding RNA (217 nucleotides) under uncultured Tomentella. RNAcentral describes it as "sequence contains ITS2". Lineage: Eukaryota; Fungi; Basidiomycota; Agaricomycetes; Thelephorales; Thelephoraceae. The record is from RNAcentral.